Molecule: ribosomal RNA, 253 nt
Filed under: uncultured bacterium
Lineage: Bacteria
Description: partial 16S ribosomal RNA
Rfam family: Bacterial small subunit ribosomal RNA
Source: RNAcentral
GACGGAGGGUGCAACCGUUGUUCGGAAUCACUGGGCGUAAAGGGCGCGUAGGCGGACUUGUAAGUCGGGAGUGAAAACUCGGGGCUCAACCCCGAGCCUGCUUCUGAAACUGCGAGUCUUGAGGACCGGAGAGGAAAGUGGAAUUCCUAGUGUAGCGGUGGAAUGCGUAGAUAUUAGGAAGAACACCAGUGGCGAAGGCGACUUUCUGGACGGUUCCUGACGCUGAGGCGCGAAAGCUAGGGGAGCAAACAGG